RNAcentral lists this ribosomal RNA (429 nucleotides) under Chloroflexota bacterium. RNAcentral describes it as "Chloroflexi bacterium partial 16S ribosomal RNA". It matches the Rfam family "Bacterial small subunit ribosomal RNA", at positions 355 to 776 of the family's 1533-position model. The record is from RNAcentral. Lineage: Bacteria; Bacillati; Chloroflexota.
UGGGGAAUAUUGCACAAUGGGCGCAAGCCUGAUGCAGCCAUGCCGCGUGUGUGGAGAAGGCCUUCGGGUUGUAAAGCACUUUCAGCGGGGAGGAAGGCGGUGAGGUUAAUAACCUCAUCGAUUGACGUUACCCGCAGAAGAAGCACCGGCUAACUCCGUGCCAGCAGCCGCGGUAAUACGGAGGGUGCAAGCGUUAAUCGGAAUUACUGGGCGUAAAGCGCACGCAGGCGGUCUGUCAAGUCGGAUGUGAAAUCCCCGGGCUCAACCUGGGAACUGCAUUCGAAACUGGCAGGCUAGAGUCUUGUAGAGGGGGGUAGAAUUCCAGGUGUAGCGGUGAAAUGCGUAGAGAUCUGGAGGAAUACCGGUGGCGAAGGCGGCCCCCUGGACAAAGACUGACGCUCAGGUGCGAAAGCGUGGGGAGCAAACAGG